This 494-nucleotide ribosomal RNA is filed under the name uncultured Myxococcales bacterium. RNAcentral's name for it is "partial 16S ribosomal RNA". The record is from RNAcentral. Lineage: Bacteria; Pseudomonadati; Myxococcota; Myxococcia; Myxococcales.
CACAGAGUUAGCCGGUGCUUGCUAAGGAGAUACCGUCAUCAUGUGGAGUAUUAGCCCGCACUAAUUCUUCUCUCCCCACAGAGCUUUACAACCCGAAGGCCUUCAUCACUCACGCGGCGUCGCUGCGUCAGGCUUUCGCCCAUUGCGCAAGAUUCCCCACUGCUGCCUUCCGUAGAAGUCUGGACCGUGUCUCAGUUCCAGUGUGGCUGAUCAUCCUCUCAGACCAGCUACCCGUCUUCGGCUUGGUAGGCCGUUACCCUACCAACUACCUGAUGGGCCGCGGGCUCAUCCUCAAGUGCUAGCUUAUGUAUAGAGGCCAGCUUUGACCGCAGCCUCUUUCGAGGCCGUGGUCUUAUGCGGUAUUAGCACUCCUUUCGGAAUGUUAUCCCCCGCUCGAGGGAAGAUUACCCACGUGUUACUCACCCGUGCGCCACUGUACCGGGGCCGAAGCCCUUUUCUCGUGCGACUUGCAUGUGUUAGGCGCGCCGCGAACG